GUAGGGAAUAUUGCACAAUGGGGGAAACCCUGAUGCAGCGACGCCGCGUGAGUGAUGAAGGCCUUCGGGUCGUAAAGCUCUGUCGUAUGGGACUAACACAAUGAAGGUACCAUGCAAGAAAGGAUCGGCUAACUUCGUGCCAGCAGCCGCGGUAAGACGAGGGAUCCUAGCGUUGUUCGGAAUCAUUGGGCGUAAAGCGGGUGUAGGCGGAUUGAUAAGUCAGGUGUGAAAUCCCAGGGCUCAACCCUGGAAGUGCACUUGAUACUGUAAAUCUUGAGUGUGGUAGAGGUUACUGGAAUUGUUGGUGUAGUGGUGAAAUACGUAGAUAUCAACAGGAAUACCGGAGGCGAAGGCGAGUAACUGGGCCAACACUGACGCUGAGACCCGAAAGCGUGGGGAUCAAACAGGAUUAGAAACCCCUGUAGUCC
This 428-nucleotide ribosomal RNA is filed under the name uncultured bacterium. RNAcentral describes it as "partial 16S ribosomal RNA". It matches the Rfam family "Bacterial small subunit ribosomal RNA", at positions 354 to 796 of the family's 1533-position model. The record is from RNAcentral.